Molecule: ribosomal RNA, 268 nt
Filed under: uncultured bacterium
Lineage: Bacteria
Description: partial 16S ribosomal RNA
Rfam family: Bacterial small subunit ribosomal RNA
Source: RNAcentral
UGAGGAAUAUUGGGCAAUGCCCGCAAGGGUGACCCAGCAACGCCGCGUGGAGGAUGAAUGUCGUAAGAUUGUAAACUCCUGUUAGAGGGGAAGAAUAGUACCGGUUGGACCGGUAUAUGACUGUACCCUCAGAGAAAGCCCCGGCUAACUACGUGCCAGCAGCCGCGGUAAUACGUAGGGGGCAAGCGUUGUCCGGAUUUACUGGGUGUAAAGGGCGCGCAGGCGGGAUAAAAAGUCAGUGGUGAAAUCCUACAGCUUAACUGUAGAA